RNAcentral lists this ribosomal RNA (502 nucleotides) under uncultured bacterium. RNAcentral's name for it is "bacterial SSU rRNA". It matches the Rfam family "Bacterial small subunit ribosomal RNA", at positions 29 to 520 of the family's 1533-position model. The record is from RNAcentral.
AGCGAACGUUUGCGGCGGGCUUAACACAUGCAAGUCGAACGAGAAUCCCUUCGGGGAGGAAAGUGGCGCACGGGUGCGUAACACGUGGAUAACCAACCCAUUGGUUUGGGACAACACCGGGAAACUGGUGCUAAUACCAGAUGUGUCGCAGCUGUCUUCAGGCGGUUGCGAGAAAGGCCCGCAAGGGUCGCCAACGGACGGGUCCGCGUCCCAUCAGCUAGUUGGUGAGGUAAUGGCUCACCAAGGCAAAGACGGGUAGCUGGUCUGAGAGGACGAUCAGCCACACUGGGACUGAGACACGGCCCAGACUCCUACGGGAGGCAGCAGUGGGGAAUAUUGCACAAUGGGCGAAAGCCUGAUGCAGCAAUGCCGCGUGUGUGAAGAAGGCCUGCGGGUUGUAAAGCACUUUCAGUAGGGAGGAAACAGUAGCCGGUUAAUAUCCGGUUGCCUUGACGUUACCUACAGAAGAAGCACCGGCUAACUCUGUGCCAGCAGCCGACGG